This 488-nucleotide ribosomal RNA is filed under the name uncultured bacterium. Its description in RNAcentral is "partial 16S ribosomal RNA". It matches the Rfam family "Bacterial small subunit ribosomal RNA", at positions 28 to 507 of the family's 1533-position model. The record is from RNAcentral.
GACGAACGCUGGCGGCGUGCUUAACACAUGCAAGUCGAACGGAAAGGCCCUGCGUUUGUGGGGUGCUCGAGUGGCGAACGGGGGAGUAACACGUGAGUAACAUGCCCUUGACUGUGGGAUAACUUCAGGAAACUGGGGCGAAUACCGGAGAGGAGCUCCUGCUGCAUGGGGGGGGUUGGAAAGUUUCGGCGGUGGGGGAUGGACUCGCGGCUUAUGAGCUGGUUGGGGAGGUAGGGGCGUAACAAGGCUAUGACGGGUAGCCGACCUGAGAGGGUGACCGGCCACACUGGAACUGGGGCGCGGUCCAGACUCCUACGGGAGGCAGCAGUAGGGAAUCGUCCGCAAUGGGCGGAAGCCUGACGGAGCAACGCCGCGUGAGUGAUGAAGGCCUUCGGAUCGUAAAACUCUGUUAUUAGGGAAGAACAAAUGUCUCAGUAACUAUGCACGUCUGGACGGUACCUAAUCAGAAAGCCACGGCUAACUACGUG